GAUGAACGCUGGCGGCGUGCCUAAUACAUGCAAGUCGAGCGAACGGACGAGAAGCUUGCUUCUCUGAUGUUAGCGGCGGACGGGUGAGUAACACGUGGAUAACCUACCUAUUAGACUGGGAUAACUUCGGGAAACCGGAGCUAAUACCGGAUGAUAUUUUGUACCGCAUGGUUCAAAAGUGAAAGACGGUCUUGCUGUCACUUAUAGAUGGAUCCGCGCUGCAUUAGCUAGUUGGUAAGGUAACGGCUUACCAAGGAAACGAUGCAUAGCCGACCUGAGAGGGUGAUCGGCCACACUGGAACUGAGACACGGUCCAGACUCCUACGGGAGGCAGCAGUAGGGAAUCUUCCGCAAUGGGCGAAAGCCUGACGGAGCAACGCCGCGUGAGUGAUGAAGGUCUUCGGAUCGUAAAACUCUGUUAUUAGGAAAGAACAUAUGUGUAAGUAACUGUGCACAUCUUGACGGUACCUAAUCAGAAAGCCACGGCUAAAUACGUG
RNAcentral lists this ribosomal RNA (497 nucleotides) under uncultured bacterium. RNAcentral describes it as "partial 16S ribosomal RNA". It matches the Rfam family "Bacterial small subunit ribosomal RNA", at positions 28 to 507 of the family's 1533-position model. The record is from RNAcentral.